RNAcentral lists this non-coding RNA (153 nucleotides) under Kurthia senegalensis. Lineage: Bacteria; Bacillati; Bacillota; Bacilli; Caryophanales; Caryophanaceae. The record is from RNAcentral.
AAGGUGCUAUGUCGCAUAGCUUAAAAAGGAAUCAAGUGAAAAUCUUGAACGGUCCAGCCACUGUAAGAAAGUUUAUUUUUUCCGUAAGCCACUGGGAAACUGGGAAGGCGAAAAAAUAACAUACUUUCGAGUCAGGAUACUUGCCUCAUUGUU